GUUAGGAAUAUUCGUCAAUGGGGGGAACCCUGAACGAGCAAUGCCGCGUGAACGAUGACGGUCCUCUGGAUUGUAAAGUUCUGUUGUUUGGGAAGAACGGCUCUAAUAGGAAAUGAUUAGAGAUUGACUGUACCAUUCAAGAAAGCCACGGCUAACUACGUGCCAGCAGCCGCGGUAAUACGUAGGUGGCGAGCGUUAUCCGGAUUUAUUGGGCGUAAAGCGUCCGCAGCCGGUUUAUUAAGUAUAGAAUUAAAUUUCGGGGCUUAACCCCGUCUCGUUCUAUAAACUGAUAGACUAGAGUGUGGUAGAGGCAAGUGGAAUUUCUAGUGUAGCGGUAGAAUGCGUAGAUAUUAGAAGGAACACCAGUGGCGAAGGCGACUUGCUGGGCCAUCACUGACGGUCAGGGACGAAAGCGUGGGGAGCGAAUAGG
This 430-nucleotide ribosomal RNA is filed under the name uncultured bacterium. RNAcentral describes it as "bacterial SSU rRNA". It matches the Rfam family "Bacterial small subunit ribosomal RNA", at positions 354 to 776 of the family's 1533-position model. The record is from RNAcentral.